UGGUGGAGCGAUUUGUCUGGUUAAUUCCGUUAACGAACGAGACCUCCGCCUGCUAAAUAGUGGUCUGGGGUUCUAAUGUGUGAGGGGGUCGUCGGCGAGGAGGGUCUCGGUCUUUCUCUCGGUGGCCUCGGAUCUAUGAUUCUCUCAGUAUCGGUUCUUAGAGGGACUGCCCACGGUAAGUGGGAGGAAGUUGGAGGCAAUAACU
Molecule: ribosomal RNA, 205 nt
Filed under: uncultured eukaryote
Lineage: Eukaryota
Description: partial 18S ribosomal RNA
Rfam family: Eukaryotic small subunit ribosomal RNA
Source: RNAcentral